This 228-nucleotide ribosomal RNA is filed under the name uncultured bacterium. RNAcentral describes it as "partial 16S ribosomal RNA". It matches the Rfam family "Bacterial small subunit ribosomal RNA", at positions 103 to 334 of the family's 1533-position model. The record is from RNAcentral.
CGGGUGAGUAACGCGUGGAUAACCUGCCUCACACUGGGGAUAACAGUUAGAAAUGACUGCUAAUACCGCAUAAGCGCACAGUACCGCAUGGUACAGUGUGAAAAACUCCGGUGGUGUGAGAUGGAUCCGCGUCUGAUUAGCCAGUUGCGGGUAACGGCCCACCAAAGCGACGAUCAGUAGCCGACCUGAGAGGGUGACCGGCCACAUUGGGACUGAGACACGGCCCAA